Molecule: ribosomal RNA, 427 nt
Filed under: uncultured bacterium
Lineage: Bacteria
Description: partial 16S ribosomal RNA
Rfam family: Bacterial small subunit ribosomal RNA
Source: RNAcentral
GUGAGGAAUCUUCCACAAUGGGCGAAAGCCUGAUGGAGCAACGCCGCGUGAAGGAUGAAGGUCUUCGGAUUGUAAACUUCUUUUAUGAGUGAAGAAUAUGACGGUAACUCAUGAAUAAGCACCGGCUAACUACGUGCCAGCAGCCGCGGUCAUACGUAGGGUGCAAGCAUUAUCCGGAGUGACUGGGCGUAAAGAGUUGCGUAGGCGGUUAUGUAAGCGAAUAGUGAAACCUGGUGGCUCAACCACACAGACUAUUAUUCGAACUGCAUAACUCGAGAAUGGUAGAGGUAACUGGAAUUUCUUGUGUAGGAGUGAAAUCCGUAGAUAUAAGAAGGAACACCAAUGGCGUAGGCAGGUUACUGGGCCAUUUCUGACGCUAAGGCACGAAAGCGUGGGGAGCGAACCGGAUUAGAAACCCGGGUAGUCC